RNAcentral lists this transfer RNA (66 nucleotides) under Sphenarium purpurascens. Its description in RNAcentral is "tRNA-Pro". The record is from RNAcentral. Lineage: Eukaryota; Metazoa; Arthropoda; Insecta; Orthoptera; Pyrgomorphidae.
CAAGGGUUAUUUUAUAAAAAUACAAGCUUUGGAUGUUUGAGAUAAGAUAUAAAUUCUUACCCUUGA